Molecule: ribosomal RNA, 483 nt
Filed under: uncultured bacterium
Lineage: Bacteria
Description: partial 16S ribosomal RNA
Rfam family: Bacterial small subunit ribosomal RNA
Source: RNAcentral
AUUGAACGCUGGCGGCAUGCUUUACACAUGCAAGUCGAACUGCAGCGCGGGCUUCGGCCUGGCGGCGAGUGGCGAACGGGUGAGUAAUGCAUCGGAACGUGCCCAGUAGUGGGGGAUAGCCCGGCGAAAGCCGGAUUAAUACCGCAUACGACCUGAGGGUGAAAGCGGGGGACCGAAAGGCCUCGCGCUAUUGGAGCGGCCGAUGUCGGAUUAGCUAGUUGGUGGGGUAAAGGCUUACCAAGGCGACGAUCCGUAGCUGGUCUGAGAGGACGACCAGCCACACUGGGACUGAGACACGGCCCAGACUCCUACGGGAGGCAGCAGUGGGGAAUUUUGGACAAUGGGGGCAACCCUGAUCCAGCCAUGCCGCGUGCGGGAAGAAGGCCUUCGGGUUGUAAACCGCUUUUGUUCGGGAAGAAAUCCUCUGGGCUAAUACCCCGGGGGAUGACGGUACCGGAAGAAUAAGCACCGGCUAACUACGUG